AAAAUACAAAAGAGUUGAUGUCCACUUUAUAAACACAAAGACUUCUCUUCGUCUUCCAUUGACAUCUCUUCGUCUUCUUCUUCUCCUAUGCAUUUGCGAUAAAAAUCAAAGAUAAAAUCCAACAAAGUAAAAACUGACUAAAGCAGUUUCAACGUUCAAAACAAAAGUUACAGAAAUUGCUUGAUGGACCAAGAAACAAAAGUGAGUUCUGAGGUUCCUGUAGUUAAAGGUGCACCUGAAGAUCUAAACACGGUCGAUGUUUCUGCUAAGGAGGUGAACAAAGAAAUGACAAAGGAAGAUAAAGCUAUGCAGCAAGAAGAAGAGGAUACUGCAAUUUGAUGGUGGAUUCAUAAAAGUUGAGA
Molecule: long non-coding RNA, 362 nt
Organism: Raphanus sativus (radish)
Lineage: Eukaryota; Viridiplantae; Streptophyta; Magnoliopsida; Brassicales; Brassicaceae
Exons: 3
Source: RefSeq, a predicted model, not a curated record